Molecule: non-coding RNA, 71 nt
Organism: Podarcis lilfordi (Lilford's wall lizard)
Lineage: Eukaryota; Metazoa; Chordata; Lepidosauria; Squamata; Lacertidae
Source: the annotation of a GenBank genome assembly
GGGCCAUAGCUCAAUGCUAGUGCAUCUGCUUUGCAUGCGGAAGGUCCUAGGUCCAAUCCCUGGCAUCUCCA